CACGAAGAAAUCGUCCUGGACAAUUACUACAUUAACAUGUGAAGGAUCCCAUGUACUUGCUAAGUCAAACAAGAGUAAAAAUAAAAAUAAAAUACCAAACUACUUGUAAAUCUAACAAUACUUAUUCAACAUCGAAACUUCGCCUUAAAUCAAACAAGUCAAAUCUUAAACGGCUAAACUCGAGAGCAAAAGAAAAAUAAAACUGAAAG
This 209-nucleotide long non-coding RNA is filed under the name Solanum tuberosum (potato). RNAcentral describes it as "long non-coding RNA (STUB_LNC011479)". The record is from RNAcentral. Lineage: Eukaryota; Viridiplantae; Streptophyta; Magnoliopsida; Solanales; Solanaceae.